GGCUCAGAUUGAACGCUGGCGGCAUGGCUAAAACAUGCAAGUCGAACGCGAAAGCACUUCGGUGCAAGUAGAGUGGCGAAAGGGCGAGGAAUAAGUACCUAACGUGCCUUCAGGUAAGGGAUAGCUCAUGGAAACGUGUGGUAAUACCUUAUAAUCUCUAUCUUCCGUAUGGUGGGUAGAGCAAAGGCUUGCUGCCUGAAGAUCGGGGUACUUCCUAUCAGCUUGUUGGUAAGGUAACGGCUUACCAAGGCUAAGACGGGUAGCGGGUGUGAGAGCAUGACCCGCCGCAUCGGGACUGAGACACUGCCCGGACUCCUACGGGAGGCUGCAGUAACGAAUAUUCCGCAAUGCGCGAAAGCGUGACGGAGCAAUGCCGCGUGUGGGAUGAAGCAUCUAGGUGUGUAAACCACUGUCAGGGUUUAGGAAACAAAUGACCAGACCCAAAGGAAGAGCCGGCUAACUCUGUGCCAGCAGCCGCGGUAAUACAGAGGGCUCAAGCGUUAAUCGGAAUCACUGGGCUUAAAGGGUCCGCAGGCGGAUUGGCAAGUAUCUUGUGAAAUACCAUGGCUCAACCAUGGAAUUGCUCGGUAAACUGCCAAUCUUGAACACGGUAGGGGCCAUCGGAACUCUAGGUGGAGCGGUGAAAUGCGUAGAU
Molecule: ribosomal RNA, 655 nt
Filed under: Leptocylindrus danicus
Lineage: Eukaryota; Bacillariophyta; Leptocylindrophyceae; Leptocylindrales; Leptocylindraceae
Description: partial Bacterial small subunit ribosomal RNA
Rfam family: Bacterial small subunit ribosomal RNA
Source: RNAcentral